This is a long non-coding RNA of Rosa rugosa (rugosa rose), 822 nucleotides long. RefSeq lists it as uncharacterized. The record is from RefSeq and is a predicted model, not a curated record. The transcript has 4 exons. NCBI's taxonomy places the organism in Eukaryota, Viridiplantae, Streptophyta, Magnoliopsida, Rosales, Rosaceae.
CUGAUAUGUUCUCAUCAGUUGAAUGGGAUAUUAGGUAGUAGUUGCUUUAUUGUUUACUUCUCUGUUCAUUUAGCUAAGCAGAUAAGAUGCAAUUGUUAGUAGAUAUCAGCAUAACUAUAUACGUGUUUCUUCCUCUAUGGGUCAUUUUUUCUAAAUUUUUGUUUUUGUCUUUAAAGUAGUUCCCAGACAAAAGUAUUGUGAAUCCAUACACAAAACUGUCAAAAGAAAGACAAGGACAAUGAUGGUUGGAAAUGUGGCUAUUGGCAGUGAGCAUCCCCUAAGGAUUCAAACAAUGACAACAAAUGACAAAGGAUGUAUCUGCCACAUUUGAAGAGUGGAGGCUUAGAAUUACAGCAAAAUAUUUUGGGAAAUUCUGUUUCUUUUUUAUGAUCAUUUUGACUUGGUAAUGACUUCUUGAGUUAUUUGGAUGAAAAGAAAGUGCCAAGUGCUGGGGUUUCAAAUAAAAUGAUGGAGAGGCUGAAAGUGGUUAUUGAACAGAUCACGACUGUAGCUUCUUGGUGUCAAGCUUAGUGAUGCUUCAGAGAAGUUAGGGAGAAGUUUGUUACAGGAGCUUCUGUUGUUAAGAUAAUGUGCUUUCUCAAAUUGAGCUCAUUUGUUUGCAAUGCUUUAUUUAAGUGGCAGCACUUCAGUUUUUUUUCUGGGGAAGUUAACAAAUUUACCUUUUGUUAUUGCUUUCAACUUUCUGUUUGUUAUUCUAGAGCUCUGCUCUUGAAUUCAUGAUUAUUAAAUGAAAUUUGUGUCACUAAAAAUUUCUGUUCAAGUGAUUUUAAAGUAAUUUGUAUCUAUGCAGUUAUCUGUAGG